CCCGAUGAACCUGAAUAUCCGUUAUGGAAAAUUCAUCAUUAAUAUUAUUAUAUUUAAAAAUAUAAUAAAAAUAGUGUGCAAUUUUUCCAUAUAAGGACAUUGUAAUCUGUUAAUGUAUUAAAUAUUUAUCAAAAAAUCUAAAACAUUAGUUUAUUCAAAUUAGUUAUUUUCGAAUUUCUAACAUAGAAUAAUUGUAUUAGAUUUGAUAAAUCAUUGACAGAUUUUACUGUAUAUAAUGCUGAAAUUCUUUUUUGAAUUUUAUAAUUAUAGUAAAAAUUUAUUUUUAUUUAUAAUUAUAUGCAUUUAUAUGAUUAACAAUGCGAUAGAUUCAGGAUACCUUCGGGACCCGUCUUGAAACACGGACCAAGGAGUCUAACAUAUGUGCAAGUCAUUGGGUAUUUUUAAUAAAACCCAAUGGCAUAAUUAACUUAACUGUUUUUUAAUGGGAUUAGUUUAUAUUUUAUUAUGAAAUAAAAAUUCAAUCCCGGGGCGUUCUAUACAGUUAUGCAUAAUGAUAUUUAUAUUAUUUAUGCCUCUAACUAGAGCGUACCUUGAGCAUAUAUGCUGUGACCC
Molecule: ribosomal RNA, 573 nt
Filed under: Neocnemodon brevidens
Lineage: Eukaryota; Metazoa; Arthropoda; Insecta; Diptera; Syrphidae
Description: partial 28S ribosomal RNA
Source: RNAcentral